GGUUAAGCGACUAAGCGUACACGGUGGAUGCCCUGGCAGUCAGAGGCGAUGAAGGACGUGCUAAUCUGCGAAAAGCGUCGGUAAGGUGAUAUGAACCGUUAUAGCCGGCGAUGUCCGAAUGGGGAAACCCAGUGCAAUUCGUUGCACUAUCGUUAACUGAAUACAUAGGUUAACGAGGCGAACCGGGGGAACUGAAACAUCUAAGUACCCCGAGGAAAAGAAAUCAACCGAGAUUCCCCCAGUAGCGGCGAGCGAACGGGGAGCAGCCCAGAGUCUGAAUCAGCUUGUGUGU
RNAcentral lists this ribosomal RNA (292 nucleotides) under Klebsiella variicola. Its description in RNAcentral is "partial 23S ribosomal RNA". It matches the Rfam family "Bacterial large subunit ribosomal RNA", at positions 1 to 289 of the family's 2925-position model. The record is from RNAcentral. Lineage: Bacteria; Pseudomonadati; Pseudomonadota; Gammaproteobacteria; Enterobacterales; Enterobacteriaceae.